This 853-nucleotide ribosomal RNA is filed under the name uncultured organism. RNAcentral describes it as "bacterial SSU rRNA". It matches the Rfam family "Bacterial small subunit ribosomal RNA", at positions 623 to 1463 of the family's 1533-position model. The record is from RNAcentral.
GGCACUGAUACUACCGGGCUUGAGGCGCUGAAGGGCGACUGGAACUNUCGGUGGAGCGGUGAAAUGCGUAGAUAUCGAGAGGAACGUCAAUGGUGAAGACAGGUCGCUGGUGGCGUCCUGACGCUGAGGCCUGAAAGCUAGGGGAGCAAACGGGAUUAGAUACCCCGGUAGUCCUAGCCCUAAACGAUGCACACUAGGUGGGGGAGGCUCUGACGGCCAUCCCUGCCGCAGGGAAACCGGUAAGUGUGCCGCCUGGGAAGUACGGUCGCAAGGCUAAAACUCAAAGGAAUUGACGGGGGCUCACACAAGCGGUGGAGCAUGUGGCUCAAUUCGAGGCAACGCGAAGAACCUUAUCCUAGGCUUGACAUGGAGGUAGUAGAACCCCGAAAGGGGAACGACUGGUUCAGUCCAGAGCCUACACAGGUGCUGCAUGGCUGUCGUCAGCUCGUGCUGUGAAGUGUCGGGUUAAGUCCCUUAACGAGCGAAACCCUUACCCCUAGUUGCCAGCGGGUCAUGCCGGGGACUCUAGGGGGACUGCCACGGUGAACGUGGAGGAAGGUGGGGAUGACGUCAAGUCCUCAUGGCCUUUAUGCCUAGGGCUGCACACGUGCUACAAUGGCGUUUACAGAGGGAAGCGAGGCCGCGAGGCGGAGCCAAUCCCUAAAAAAACGUCUCAGUCCGGAUUGCAGGCUGCAACCCGUCUGCAUGAAGUUGGAAUCGCUAGUAAUCGCGGAUCAGCUACGCCGCGGUGAAUGUGUUCCUGAGCCUUGUACACACCGCCCGUCAAGCCACCGAAGCUGGGAGUACCCGAAGUCGCGUGACUCAACCCGCAAGGGAGAGAGGCGCCGACGGA